RNAcentral lists this transfer RNA (72 nucleotides) under Toxocara canis (dog roundworm). It matches the Rfam family "tRNA". Rfam says of the family: Transfer RNA (tRNA) molecules are approximately 80 nucleotides in length. Their secondary structure includes four short double-helical elements and three loops (D, anti-codon, and T loops). Lineage: Eukaryota; Metazoa; Nematoda; Chromadorea; Rhabditida; Toxocaridae. The record is from Rfam by way of RNAcentral.
UGGGCAGUAGAUCAGUGGUGGGGCUCCAGUUUUUUAUGCGGGAAGACCUGAGUUCGAUUCCCGGCUGCUUAC